Molecule: ribosomal RNA, 434 nt
Filed under: uncultured Lachnospiraceae bacterium
Lineage: Bacteria; Bacillati; Bacillota; Clostridia; Lachnospirales; Lachnospiraceae
Description: partial 16S ribosomal RNA
Rfam family: Bacterial small subunit ribosomal RNA
Source: RNAcentral
ACGGAAGGCAGCAGUGGGGAAUAUUGGACAAUGGGGGAGACCCUGAUCCAGCGACGCCGCGUGAGUGAAGAAGUAUUUCGGUAUGUAAAGCUCUAUCAGCAGGGAAGAAAAUGACGGUACUUGACUAAGAAGCUCCGGCUAACUACGUGCCAGCAGCCGCGGUAAUACGUAUGGAGCAAGCGUUAUCCGGAUUUACUGGGUGUAAAGGGAGCGUAGACGGCAAGGCAAGUCAGAAGUGAAAGCCCGGGGCUCAACCCCGGAACUGCUUUUGAGACUGUAUAGCUAGAGUGCAGGAGAGGUAAGUGGAAUUCCUAGUGUAGCGGUGAAAUGCGUAGAUAUUAGGAGGAACACCAGUGGCGAAGGCGGCUUGCUGGACGGUAACUGACGUUGAGGCUCGAAAGCGUGGGGAGCAAACAGGAUUAGAUACCCUGGUA